RNAcentral lists this ribosomal RNA (476 nucleotides) under uncultured bacterium. Its description in RNAcentral is "SSU rRNA". It matches the Rfam family "Bacterial small subunit ribosomal RNA", at positions 26 to 518 of the family's 1533-position model. The record is from RNAcentral.
AGGACGAACGCUGGCGGCGUGCUUAACACAUGCAAGUCGAACGGUAAGGCCUUUCGGGGUACACGAGUGGCGAACGGGUGAGUAACACGUGGGUGAUCUGCCCUGCACUUUGGGAUAAGCCUGGGAAACUGGGUCUAAUACCGAAUAUGACCAUUGGUUGCAUGACUGGUGGUGGAAAGCUUUUGCGGUGUGGGAUGGGCCCGCGGCCUAUCAGCUUGUUGGUGGGGUUAAGGCCUACCAAGGCGACGACGGGUAGCCGGCCUGAGAGGGUGUCCGGCCACACUGGGACUGAGAUACGGCCCAGACUCCUACGGGAGGCAGCAGUGGGGAAUAUUGCACAAUGGGCGCAAGCCUGAUGCAGCGACGCCGCGUGAGGGACGACGGCCUUCGGGUUGUAAACCGUCUUUCAGUAGGGACGAAGCGCAAGUGACGGUACCUACAGAAGAAGGACCGGCCAACUACGCGCCAGCAGCCGC